CCCUUAGAUGUCCUGGGCCGCACGCGCGCUACACUGAGUGUCUGAGAUACGAGUCUGCCUGGUCCGGCAAGGUCUAGGUAAUCGCUAAAAGACACAUCAUGCUUGGGAUAGAUUAUUGCAAAUAUUAAUCUUGAACGAGGAAUUCCUAGUAAGCGCAAGUCAACAGCUUGCAUUGAUUACGUCCCUGCCCUUUGUACACACCGCCCGUCGCUACUACUGAUUGGAUGUUUAAGCGAGGUUCUCGAACUGCUAGCGACUUAGCUUCGGUGAGGUCGCAGUGUGGGAAGUGAACCUAGCUUUGGUGUCUAGAGGAAGUAAAAGUCGUAACA
This 329-nucleotide ribosomal RNA is filed under the name uncultured eukaryote. RNAcentral's name for it is "partial 18S ribosomal RNA". It matches the Rfam family "Eukaryotic small subunit ribosomal RNA", at positions 1470 to 1796 of the family's 1831-position model. The record is from RNAcentral.